This 618-nucleotide ribosomal RNA is filed under the name Triticum aestivum (bread wheat). RNAcentral's name for it is "partial small subunit ribosomal RNA". The record is from RNAcentral. Lineage: Eukaryota; Viridiplantae; Streptophyta; Magnoliopsida; Poales; Poaceae.
AUGGCGGCCACGCUCCUCCGCCGGGCGCUCCACCUCCGCCGCGCCCUCCCCUCUCCAGCUUCCUCGCGCGCGCUCCUCCCCGCGGCCUCCAGCCGCCUCCUCUCCGUCACCGCCUCCACCCAGCAGAACACCGCCGGCACCGCCAUCGACCUCUCCAACGACGAGAGCCGCCGCCGCCUCGUCAACAGGUGCGUCUCCCCCAUCGCUCCUUCGAGCCUUCAGCCUCUGGGCCGCCAAGUACGUAUGCUGACUGGGAGGCCGCGUGCGUGCAGUCUGAUGUACAGGAGCAAGCAGAGGGGCUUCCUGGAGCUGGACCUGGUGCUCGGGACCUGGGUGGAGCAGCACGUCCGCUCCAUGGACGAGGCCAACAUCCGCUCCCUGCUCCAGAUCCUCGACCUCGAGAACCCAGAUUUGUGGAAAUGGCUUACUGGUCAAGAGCAAGCGCCAGAGACUGUAAACUCUAAUCCUGUAUUUGCUGCCAUUAAGUCGAAGGUGACGGAUAACCUGAGCAAGCACUCUUCCCCAGAGACCCGGUCAGCGCCUGGCCAGCCUUGGGUGAGAGGGUGGGAUGACAAGGACAAGAGGGGUCUGGAUGGACCCAAGUACGGAAACCAGUGA